Molecule: non-coding RNA, 108 nt
Organism: Cercophora samala
Lineage: Eukaryota; Fungi; Ascomycota; Sordariomycetes; Sordariales; Lasiosphaeriaceae
Source: the annotation of a GenBank genome assembly
UCUUCCGUAGUAUAGUGGUCAGUAUGUGAGCUUGUCAAUCCGGCGAACUCCACAUGGAUUCAAUGAAUAACAACGCUCGAGACCCGGGUUCAAUUCCCGGCGGGAGAG